GUGAAUGAGAGGUCAUCCCUUAAAAGUAAGGAGCUCCAGGAAUACUAAGUUUGCCUGGCAGGGAUAAACAAUAGAGGUAAUUGAGUUCAACAAGUAUUUGGUCAAGGUUCUGUCCCAGCAGCCAGUUCUGUAAUGGGAGCUAAGGACACUGCGGACUGCUGAUGUAAAGAGAACCGGGGUUUCUAGGAAUCUUUAAAGGACACGGUCAUAGUGAAAAUCAUCCGUCUGCCCAGAUGACCCUGCAACCCUCUAUUUAGAAGCUGCCUUCAAAACACAGAGAAACAUGGUGGAUCGUAAUCUCAUUGGCACCCUGCUCCGGAAGUUCCCCUAGCAUCAUCCAGCAC
RNAcentral lists this long non-coding RNA (344 nucleotides) under Bos taurus (domestic cattle). RNAcentral describes it as "long non-coding RNA NONBTAT002887". The record is from RNAcentral. Lineage: Eukaryota; Metazoa; Chordata; Mammalia; Artiodactyla; Bovidae.